Molecule: ribosomal RNA, 253 nt
Filed under: uncultured bacterium
Lineage: Bacteria
Description: partial 16S ribosomal RNA
Rfam family: Bacterial small subunit ribosomal RNA
Source: RNAcentral
UACGUAGGGUGCAAGCGUUAAUCGGAAUUACUGGGCGUAAAGCGUGCGCAGGCGGUUUUGUAAGUCUGACGUGAAAUCCCCGGGCUCAACCUGGGAAUUGCGUUGGAGACUGCAAGGCUAGAAUCUGGCAGAGGGGGGUAGAAUUCCACGUGUAGCAGUGAAAUGCGUAGAGAUGUGGAGGAACACCGAUGGCGAAGGCAGCCCCCUGGGUCUAGAUUGACGCUCAUGCACGAACGCGUGGGGAGCAAACAGG